This 465-nucleotide ribosomal RNA is filed under the name uncultured bacterium. Its description in RNAcentral is "partial 16S ribosomal RNA". It matches the Rfam family "Bacterial small subunit ribosomal RNA", at positions 28 to 507 of the family's 1533-position model. The record is from RNAcentral.
GACGAACGCUGGCGGCGUGCUUAACACAUGCAAGUCGAACGGAAAGGCCCUGCUUGCCGGGUACUCGAGUGGCGAACGGGUGAGUAACACGUGGGUGAUCUGCCCUGCACUUCGGGAUAAGCCUGGGAAACUGGGUCUAAUACCGGAUAGGAGCCAUUUUUAGUGUGAUGGUUGGAAAGUUUUUUCGGUGUAGGAUGAGCUCGCGGCCUAUCAGCUUGUUGGUGGGGUAAUGGCCUACCAAGGCGGCGACGGGUAGCCGGCCUGAGAGGGUGGACGGCCACAUUGGGACUGAGAUACGGCCCAGUCUCCUACGGGAGGCAGCAGUGGGGAAUAUUGCACAAUGGGCGCAAGCCUGAUGCAGCGACGCCGCGUGGGGGAUGACGGCCUUCGGGUUGUAAACUCCUUUCGCUAGGGACGAAGCUUUUUGUGACGGUACCUAGAUAAGAAGCACCGGCUAACUACGUG